GAUGAACGCUGGCGGCGUGCCUAAUACAUGCAAGUCGAGCGAACAGACUAGUAUCUUGCUCCUCUGACGUUAGCGGCGGACGUGUGAGUAACACGUGGAUAACCUACCUAUAAUACUUGUAUAACUUCGUGAAACCGUAGCUAAUACCGUAUAAUAUAUUUAACCUCAUGUUUCAAUAGUUAAUGACGUUUUUUCUGUCACUUAUAGAUGGAUCCGCGCCGCAUUAGCUAGUUGGUAAGGUAACGGCUUACCAAGGCAACGAUGCGUAGCCGAAGUGAGAGGGUGAGAGGCCAAACUGGAACUGAGACACGGUCCAGAAUACUACGGGAGGCAGCAGAAGGGAAUAUGACGAAAAGGGCGAAAGCAGGACGGAGAAAAGCCGAGUGAGUGAUGAAGGACUUAGGAUCGUAAAACUCUGUUAUUAGGGAAGAAAAAAUGUGUAAGUAAAUAUGCACGUCUUGACGGUACCAAAUCAGAAAGCAACGGCUAACUACGUG
Molecule: ribosomal RNA, 497 nt
Filed under: uncultured bacterium
Lineage: Bacteria
Description: partial 16S ribosomal RNA
Rfam family: Bacterial small subunit ribosomal RNA
Source: RNAcentral